RNAcentral lists this ribosomal RNA (545 nucleotides) under Providencia rettgeri. RNAcentral's name for it is "bacterial SSU rRNA". It matches the Rfam family "Bacterial small subunit ribosomal RNA", at positions 1 to 537 of the family's 1533-position model. Lineage: Bacteria; Pseudomonadati; Pseudomonadota; Gammaproteobacteria; Enterobacterales; Morganellaceae. The record is from RNAcentral.
UAAUUGAAGAGUUUGAUCAUGGCUCAGAUUGAACGCUGGCGGCAGGCCUAACACAUGCAAGUCGAGCGGUAACAGGGGAAGCUUGCUUCUCGCUGACGAGCGGCGGACGGGUGAGUAAUGUAUGGGGAUCUGCCCGAUAGAGGGGGAUAACCACUGGAAACGGUGGCUAAUACCGCAUAAUCUCUUAGGAGCAAAGCAGGGGAACUUCGGUCCUUGCGCUAUCGGAUGAACCCAUAUGGGAUUAGCUAGUAGGUGAGGUAAUGGCUCACCUAGGCGACGAUCCCUAGCUGGUCUGAGAGGAUGAUCAGCCACACUGGGACUGAGACACGGCCCAGACUCCUACGGGAGGCAGCAGUGGGGAAUAUUGCACAAUGGGCGCAAGCCUGAUGCAGCCAUGCCGCGUGUAUGAAGAAGGCCUUAGGGUUGUAAAGUACUUUCAGUCGGGAGGAAGGCGUUGAUGCUAAUAUCAUCAACGAUUGACGUUACCGACAGAAGAAGCACCGGCUAACUCCGUGCCAGCAGCCGCGGUAAUACGGAGGGUGCAA